CACUCCUGCGGGAGGCAGCAGUGGGGAAUAUUGGACAAUGGGCGCAAGCCUGAUCCAGCCAUGCCGCGUGAGUGAUGAAGGCCCUAGGGUUGUAAAGCUCUUUUGUGCGGGAAGAUAAUGACGGUACCGCAAGAAUAAGCCCCGGCUAACUUCGUGCCAGCAGCCGCGGUAAUACGAAGGGGGCUAGCGUUGCUCGGAAUCACUGGGCGUAAAGGGUGCGUAGGCGGGUCUUUAAGUCAGGGGUGAAAUCCUGGAGCUCAACUCCAGAACUGCCUUUGAUACUGAAGAUCUUGAGUUCGGGAGAGGUGAGUGGAACUGCGAGUGUAGAGGUGAAAUUCGUAGAUAUUCGCAAGAACACCAGUGGCGAAGGCGGCUCACUGGCCCGAUACUGACGCUGAGGCACGAAAGCGUGGGGAGCAAACAGGAUUAGAUACCCCGGUAGUCC
This 445-nucleotide ribosomal RNA is filed under the name uncultured organism. RNAcentral's name for it is "partial 16S ribosomal RNA". It matches the Rfam family "Bacterial small subunit ribosomal RNA", at positions 334 to 796 of the family's 1533-position model. The record is from RNAcentral.